GUGUGUGUGUGUGUGUGUGUGUGUGUGUGUGUGUGUGUGUGUAUAAUUGUUAAAGAGGAUAACAAACAUUAAGGUAAGGCAAACAUCUCAAGUCAUAUACAAUGUUAUUAUUGGAAAAAAUUCAAAGUCUUACAGCUGUUUCUGGGAUAUCCCUGAGUAUGGGAUAUUUUGACAUUAGAG
Molecule: long non-coding RNA, 180 nt
Organism: Octopus sinensis (East Asian common octopus)
Lineage: Eukaryota; Metazoa; Mollusca; Cephalopoda; Octopoda; Octopodidae
Exons: 3
Source: RefSeq, a predicted model, not a curated record